AAACUUGAGAGUUUGAUCAUGGCUCAGAAUGAACGCUGGCGGCAUGCCUAACACAUGCAAGUCGAACGAAGCCUUCGGGCUUAGUGGCGCACGGGUGCGUAACGCGUGGGAAUCUGCCCUUGGGUUCGGAAUAACAGUUAGAAAUGACUGCUAAUACCGAAUGAUGUCGUAAGACCAAAGAUUUAUCGCCCAGGGAUGAGCCCGCGUAGGAUUAGCUAGUUGGUGUGGUAAAGGCGCACCAAGGCGACGAUCCUUAGCUGGUCUGAGAGGAUGAUCAGCCACACUGGGACUGAGACACGGCCCAGACUCCUACGGGAGGCAGCAGUGGGGAAUAUUGGACAAUGGGCGAAAGCCUGAUCC
RNAcentral lists this ribosomal RNA (360 nucleotides) under Sphingomonas sp. Its description in RNAcentral is "bacterial SSU rRNA". It matches the Rfam family "Bacterial small subunit ribosomal RNA", at positions 1 to 389 of the family's 1533-position model. Lineage: Bacteria; Pseudomonadati; Pseudomonadota; Alphaproteobacteria; Sphingomonadales; Sphingomonadaceae. The record is from RNAcentral.